Molecule: unclassified non-coding RNA, 263 nt
Filed under: Hevea brasiliensis (rubber tree)
Lineage: Eukaryota; Viridiplantae; Streptophyta; Magnoliopsida; Malpighiales; Euphorbiaceae
Source: RNAcentral
AAUGUCCUUGUUUGUUGUCCUGGAAUUGGUUGGUCCAUUAGCAGAUAUUCAAGCAACUGAUGCAAUAACAGAGAUACAUUAUAGUCAUUUGUGCUUGUUCUUUUUGUCUUUAUCUACAAGAUGCAAUUUGUACUCUACCUAUUAAUAUAUUAAAUGACCAUGCACAGCUGUUAAUAUUCACCAACUACUAACAGAAACUGUUUAUAUUUCCAUUUGAUAGGUAGUAUUGUCAUUGUUAUGAUUUGAGAAUAGGAAAAUAACAA